GAACUCAGAUCACGUAAGAUUUUAAAAGUCGAACAGACUUUAAAUUUAAACGGNUACACCUAAAAUUAUUUCUUAAUCCAACAUCGAGGUCGCAAUCUUUUUUAUCGAUAUGAACUCUCCAAAAAAAUUACGCUGUUAUCCCUAGAGUAACUUAAAUUUUUAAUCAUUAAAAAUGGAUCAUUUAUUCAUAAAUCAAUGACUUAAAUUUUAAAAGUUAUUUAAAUUUUAAUAUCACCCCAAUAAAAUAUAUUAUUAAUAUUAUAAUUAAAAUAAUCUACAAAAUUAAAAUAUAAUAUAUAUAAAGAUUCAUAGGGUCUUCUCGUCUUUUAAAUUCAUUUUAGCUUUUUGACUAAAAAAUAAAAUUCUAUCAUAAAUUUAAAUGAAACAGUUAAUAUUUCGUCCAACCAUUCA
RNAcentral lists this ribosomal RNA (411 nucleotides) under Eristalinus punctulatus. RNAcentral describes it as "partial 16S ribosomal RNA". The record is from RNAcentral. Lineage: Eukaryota; Metazoa; Arthropoda; Insecta; Diptera; Syrphidae.